This 526-nucleotide unclassified non-coding RNA is filed under the name Hevea brasiliensis (rubber tree). Lineage: Eukaryota; Viridiplantae; Streptophyta; Magnoliopsida; Malpighiales; Euphorbiaceae. The record is from RNAcentral.
GCUCUUCAGAGGGAUAGGCAGAACAUGGGUCGCAGGUACAUUGAGGUCUUCCGUUGCAAGAAGCAAGAUUACUACAAUGCAAUUGCUGCUGAGGUGAAUUAUGGGGGGUCCUUUGACAAUGAAAAGCGCCAGGCUUCCCCGCCUGAACGCCCGAAGAAAGCUUCUGAAAACAAGGAACAUAUGGAGUACACUGAGAUUCUCAAGCUGCGCGGUCUCCCAUACUCAGUAGCGAAGUCUGAAAUUGCUGAGUUCUUUGAGGAGUUUGAGGUUACUGAAGAUAAUGUGCACAUUGCUCUUCGUUCUGAUGGCAAACCCACUGGAGAGGCUUAUGUGGAGUUUUCUUCUGAGGAGGUGGCAAAGAAGGCGAUGUGCAAGGACAAGGAGACGAUCGGGUCAAGGUACGUGGAGCUGUUCCCCUCAACCCCAGAGGAAGCAAGGCGAGCAGAGUCCAGGUUCAGGCAGUGAUUUAAAACGUCUCCAUGCUGUGUUCACUACUUGGUUCCUUUCUCUUCAGUAAGCUGGUUAG